GCGGCCKGCAACCAUGCAGUUGAGCGAUGAAGUUUCCUUCGGGAAGCGGAUUAGCGGCGGACGGGUGAGUAACACGUGGGUAACCUACCUCAAAGUGGGGAAUAGCCUCUCGAAAGGGAGAUUAAUACCGCAUAACGUAAGAGAAUCGCAUGAUUUUCUUACCAAAGAUUUAUCGCUUUGAGAUGGACCCGCGGCGCAUUAGCUAGUUGGUGAGGUAAAUGCUCACCAAGGCAACGAUGCGUAGCCGACCUGAGAGGGUGAUCGGCCACAUUGGAACUGAGACACGGUCCAGACUCCUACGGGAGGCAGCAGUGGGGAAUAUUGCGCAAUGGGGGAAACCCUGACGCAGCAACGCCGCGUGAGUGAUGAAGGUCUUCGGAUUGUAAAGCGCUGUUUUCUGGGACGAUAAUGACGGUACCAGAAGAGGAAGCCACGGCUAACUACGUGCCAGCAGCCGCGGUAAUACGUAGGUGGCGAGCGUUGUCCGGAUUUACUGGGCGUAAAGGGUGCGUAGGCG
Molecule: ribosomal RNA, 517 nt
Filed under: uncultured bacterium
Lineage: Bacteria
Description: bacterial SSU rRNA
Rfam family: Bacterial small subunit ribosomal RNA
Source: RNAcentral